RNAcentral lists this ribosomal RNA (501 nucleotides) under uncultured bacterium. RNAcentral describes it as "bacterial SSU rRNA". It matches the Rfam family "Bacterial small subunit ribosomal RNA", at positions 28 to 517 of the family's 1533-position model. The record is from RNAcentral.
GACGAACGCUGGCGGCGUGGAUUAGGCAUGCAAGUCGGACGGUAGGGCUUUAUCGUAAGAUAGAGUUUGAGAGUGGCGAACGGGUGAGUAACACGUAGGAAUCUACCCUUAAGACGGGGACAACCCAGGGAAACUUGGGCUAAUACCGGAUGAGAGUGCGAGAGAUUGCAUUUAAAAGGAUGGCGAAAGUUGUCGCUUAGGGAUGAGCCUGCGGUCUAUUAGUUAGUUGGUGAGGUAAGAGCUCACCAAGGCGAUGAUAGAUAGGCGGCCUUAACGGGUGGUCGCCCACACUGGGAUUGAGAUACGGCCCAGACUCCUACGGGAGGCAGCAGUCGAGAAUAGUCUACAAUGGCCGGAAGGCUGAUAGUGCGACGCCGCGUGAACGAGGGAGCCUUCGGGUGUAAAGUUCUUUAUUAUGUGAGCAGUGCUUCUUAUAUUAACAGUAUGGGAGAGAGAUAUUAGCAUAUGAAUAAGCAACGGCUAACUCCGUGCCAGCAGCCG